GGUUUAGCUAUGAUUGGGAGUAGUAAUAUUUUUUCCUACCUUUAGAGAGCUAUGGUUUGGUGUGACAUAGUGGUAUGAGAAUAUGAACUUGCCUAUGAGCUUAUGUGUUAAAAGCACAUACGGUUUUUACCGUUAUUUAUUUAAAGUGAGAAGUAGACUUUUAGUCUCUUCUAAUAAGAGUGGUACCGCGAAACUAUCCCCUUCGUCUCUUAA
RNAcentral lists this non-coding RNA (213 nucleotides) under Clostridium cavendishii. RNAcentral's name for it is "T-box sequence". It matches the Rfam family "T-box leader". From Rfam's summary of the family: Uncharged tRNA acts as the effector for transcription antitermination of genes in the T-box leader family. T-boxes are found upstream of many aminoacyl-tRNA synthetase genes and some amino acid biosynthetic genes usually in Gram-positive bacteria. The anticodon of a specific tRNA base pairs to a specifier sequence within the T-box motif, and the NCCA acceptor tail of the tRNA base pairs to a conserved bulge in the T-box antiterminator hairpin. Lineage: Bacteria; Bacillati; Bacillota; Clostridia; Eubacteriales; Clostridiaceae. The record is from RNAcentral.